GGAUUAUGGCUCAGCGGUAGAGCGCUCGCCUAGCAAGUAUGAGGCCCUGGGUUCGAUCCUCAGCACCA
RNAcentral lists this transfer RNA (68 nucleotides) under Marmota monax (woodchuck). RNAcentral describes it as "tRNA.Ala". The record is from RNAcentral. Lineage: Eukaryota; Metazoa; Chordata; Mammalia; Rodentia; Sciuridae.